GUUGAAGUUUGGCGAGGGGUAAACCAUAUCCUAAGAUGGAUAAAAGCUUAAUCACAUGUGAUUAAGAUGUAUGUUAUGUUCUAAAUCACCUGGCGACAUACUGUUAUGGCUAAAUGUUGCAUGAUCUGUUUAUGUUCCUCUUCAUGUGGUAGUAGGAAUCCUGAUCUCAUAAUGAUACUAAUUGUAAAACGAAAUCAUAUGAUAAAUUAAUUAAAACAAAAGAAUAAUUAUUGAGAAUCAAAGCAAGAAACAAAACCUAAAAUUCUAAAAAUGAAACAUUAAAAAUUUUAAAUGCUCGAAUUAAGUAACCUUAUUUAUGGAAACUACAAGUUAUGAGAAUUUGAUCUUAUGUGAUAUGUGAAAAAAU
RNAcentral lists this long non-coding RNA (367 nucleotides) under Carica papaya (papaya). RNAcentral's name for it is "long non-coding RNA (CPAP_LNC009543)". Lineage: Eukaryota; Viridiplantae; Streptophyta; Magnoliopsida; Brassicales; Caricaceae. The record is from RNAcentral.